GAUGAACGCUGGCGGCGUGCCUAAUACAUGCAAGUCGAGCGAACGGAUGAGAAGCUUGCUUCUCUGAUGUUAGCGGCGGACGGGUGAGUAACACGUGGAUAACCUACCUAUAAGACUGGGAUAACUUCGGGAAACCGGAGCUAAUACCGGAUAAUAUUUUGAACCGCAUGGUUCAAAAGUGAAAGACGGUCUUGCUGUCACUUAUAGAUGGAUCCGCGCUGCAUUAGCUAGUUGGUAAGGUAACGGCUUACCAAGGCAACGAUGCAUAGCCGACCUGGGAGGGUGAUCGGCCACACUGGAACUGAGACACGGUCCAGACUCCUACGGGAGGCAGCAGUAGGGAAUCUUCCGCAAUGGGCGAAAGCCUGACGGAGCAACGCCGCGUGAGUGAUGAAGGUCUUCGGAUCGUAAAACUCUGUUAUUAGGGAAGAACAUAUGUGUAAGUAACUGUGCACAUCUUGACGGUACCUAAUCAGAAAGCCACGGCUAACUACGUG
RNAcentral lists this ribosomal RNA (497 nucleotides) under uncultured bacterium. RNAcentral's name for it is "partial 16S ribosomal RNA". It matches the Rfam family "Bacterial small subunit ribosomal RNA", at positions 28 to 507 of the family's 1533-position model. The record is from RNAcentral.